UGGCAAUUGAAAGGAUAGAGACUGAAGAGAUAGGAAGACUUUUCCCUACGCAUUUUAUUAUACUUUUUAAAAAAAUUCAGAAUGGGUUUUGCUUUACUGCCCAGGCUGACCCAGAAUUCCUGGGCUGGAGUGAUCUUCCUGCCUUGGCCUCUAGAGUAGCUGGGACUGCCGAUGGGAUUCCACAGUGCCACACUGUCAGGCUUUCUGAUGUUUGAAUCACAUUAGUGUAGGCUUCUCUCACUGUUGAACCUUUUUUUGUUUUUUUCUGAACUUUUUACUAACCGAAUUACUAAUUCCAAAUUCUCAGGAACAAACAGAUUUGCUUAAAAAUUAACAUCCCUCCCUAUCAGAAUAUUUUGUACCUAGUACUCAAACAAACAAGGCUUUAUAACACGAAACAGAUGUUACUAAGACCGAAAGUCUCCCCUUGCCGGGGAGUGUGUGGCUCUGUACAAUCCUGACCUCCUGCCAGGCCCUACCUCCUGGGCCUGUCCCGCCUCAUCUCCCUUUUCUGGAACCGAAGCCCCAAGGACGGCGGGCCUUUGCUCUCCCCAUCCACACGGGCUGGUGGCCACAGCCGCUGGAGACAGCGGCACCUGACAGCCUCCUUCCCGGGGGGCACUCAGCGCGGGUGGAUGACCCCUUGCUGGGUCUCCCUCUGAGCAGGACGGGGGACAGAAGUGGUCCCAGGAGAUCGCGCAGGGGCUGCUCCCAGCCCUGGCCUCGGCCUCAACCCCCACCCCUGUGGUCCUCUAAGAACCUUCCCCGCGGUCCCCGCCCCGUCCCGUCCCACCCUCUGCUCUGCAAGUGCUGGGUGCUGCCCCGCCCGCUCCAACCUCCUUCUCCCCGGCGCUGGUCGGGUCGGUCUGGAGGGCCAGGUCUGACCGUGAGGCGUUGGCGUUGGCCGGACUGGCUGCGCCGGACGUGGGGCCGCCUCCAUCCAGUCAAGGCGGAGCCGGCAGCCAGCGGCCAGGGGCUGGAGGCCCAGGCGCUUCCAGCCAUGGGCAGGGGCUCGCUGAGAGCUCCGGGAUUGGCGGUGCCGCGGUGGCUGCUGUCACUACUGCUGCUGUCUCGGGGGCCAGUGUCUGGCGCUUGGUUGCUUCCAGGAAAUACUUCUGGAGAGCCAGUCACCACCCCCUGGGUCCUGGAUGGACAACCCUGGCUCACCAUCGUCCUGAAAGAGCCGAUCUCGACACUAGACUCAGGCCUGGUGGCCUUGGAAGCUGAAGGCCAGGAGUUCCUGCUUGAGCUGGAGAAGAACCACAGGCUGCUGGCUGCUGGUUACACAGAAACCCACUAUAGCCAAGAUGGCCAGCCAGUGGUGCUGGUCCCCAACCACAUGGGCGAGACACUUCUGUGGGCUCUGAGGACAGGGUGAGGGUGCUGGGGAUGGCACCUGGGAUAGCUCCUCACGAUCCCUACCCCAACCCUCCAACUCCGUUCCUAGGGGAAGUUGGAGCCACCCCUCCCCUCCCCUUCCUGCUCCCGUUCCCUCUUGGCUUCUGCCCUGGCUGAGGUUUGGGCUCAGGUUCCUUCCUCUCCAGGACCACUGUCACUACCACGGAGAGUGAGGGGCUUCCCCAACUCUUCGGUUAUGCUCAGCACCUGCUCUGGGAUGAGGGGCUUGAUCAGGCUCAACAGCAAUGCCAGCUAUUACCUGCAGCCCCUGGCCACCUGGAGACCCAGAGGACCUCUCAACCCACAGGACUUUCCGGAUGGAGAGGCUGCUCACCUGGAAAGGGACCUGCCAGCUACAGUGACCCCCGAGGACAAAGGGGGCAUGGCCAGGCUUCGUCCUGCCCCUCAGAGCAGGGAGAGGCGAGAAGCCCCCAGGGGCCAGAGGUACCUGGAGCUAUACGUAGUAGCCGACCACCCCCUGUACUUGACCCAGCACCGGAACUUGAACCAUACCAAAGAGCGCGUCUCCUGGAGGUUGCCAGUUAUGCAGACCAGAUCCUCAGGACGCUGGACAUCCAGGUGGUGCUGACAGGCCUGGAAGUGUGGACAGAGCAAGACCACAGCCGCGUCACACCCACGCCUGGCAACGCCACGCUCUGGGACUUCCUGAAGUGGCGCGGGGGCUGUGGGCACGGCUGGCCGCACGACUCGCGCGCAGCUACUCACGGGCUGCACCUUCCGGGGCGCCACUGUGGGCCUGGCGCCCGUCGAGGGCAUGUGUCGCGCAGAGAGGCUCGGGCGGUGUGAGCACGGACCACUCGGAGCUCCCCACCGGCGCUGCGGCCACCAUGGCCCAUGAGAUCGCCACAGCCUGGGCCUCAGCCACGACCUCGAUGGCUGCUGCGUGGAGGUCGCGGCAGAGCAAGGCGGCUGCAUCAUGGCCGCCGCCACGGGUACUCGCGGGCUAGGGCGGGGCCUAGGCUUAUUCCUCUGCGUGCUGCUUCACGUUAUCCCUCAGUUUCUCUUUUGUAAAAUGGUGGUGGUGACAACCACUUGUCCUCAUGGUUGUUUAUGAGGCCUCAGUGGAAGAAACGCAGGUAAAGUGGAUUCUCACGAGUAUGAAGAUUUUGAGAAAAACCUAGCAAGGUUGCUCCAACGCCGGAGCAAACGGCACGCGUAGGGCUGCGGUGUGGCUAACGCCAGGCCUGAGAAUCCAGGCUGAGUGCGGGCUGGGGUGUCCUGCGCUCCCGACGCCUCCCCCCCGCCCCUAGGCACCCGUUCCCGCGCCUCUUCAGCGCCUGCAGCCGCCGCCAACUGCGGGCCUUCUUCCGCAAGGGGGGCGGCGCGUGCCUCUACAACGCCCCAGACCCCGGGCUUCAGAUCCCGCCCACGCGCUGCGGGAACGGCUUCGUGGAAGCGGGCGAGGAGUGCGACUGCGGCUCUGAGCAGAAGUGCCCAGACCCCUGUUGCUUCGCCCACAACUGCUCGUUACAUGCGGGGGCCCAGUGUGCCCACGGGGACUGCUGCGCGCGCUGCCUGCUGAAGCCAGCUGGCUCGCCGUGCCGCCAGGCUGCAGGAGACUGUGACCUCCCUGAGUUCUGCACUGGCUCUUCCCCCACUGUCCCCCGGAUGUUUACCUGCUGGACGGCUUGCCCUGCGCGGGAGGCCAAGGCUACUGCCUGGAUGGCGCGUGUCCCACGCUGGAGCAGCAGUGCGCACAGCUCUGGGGGCCUGGCUCCCGCCCAGCCCCCGAGGCCUGUUUCCAGCUGGUGAACCCCGCGGGAGACGCCACUGGGAAUUGCGGCCAGGAUGGCUCUGGCCGCUUCCUGCCUUGUGCUCAGAGGGACACUCAGUGCGGGAAGCUGCAGUGCCAGGGCGGGGAGCCCAGCCCCCUAGUGCCACACAUCUUGCCUGUGGAGUCCACACUUCACUUAGACGGCCACCAGGUGGCUUGUCGUGCAGCUCUGGUGAUCCCCGAUGCCCAGCUGGACUUGCUGGACUUGGGCCUGGUAGAGCCCGGCACCCAGUGUGGUCCUAGAAUGGUGUGCCAGGACAGGCGCUGCCAGAACACUUCCUCCCAGGAGCUGGAGCGCUGCCUAACUACCUGCCACAACCAUGGGGUUUGCAAUAGCAACCAUAACUGCCACUGCUCUCCAGGCUGGGCUCCACCCUUCUGUGACAAGCCGGGUUCGGUGGCAGUGUGGACAGUGGCCCAGUGCACCCUGAAAAUGGCGACACGUUCCUUCUGGCAGUGCUCUUCAGCUUCCCUGCUCCCUCUGCUCCCCUGGGGUGGGCCUGGCCUGGUGCUACUCCGGCUCCUGGGCUCCACCUCCAGCGAUGCCCCGGGGCUAUAGGAGAGACCAGGAAUGCAGUGGGCCCAAAGAUGGCCCUCUCAGGAACCAUAGCCUGGGUGGCAUUUACCUUGCGCAGUUGGGGUCCGUGGCCAUUGGAGACCCCCAGCCCCUGGAUGCAGAGGCUCCUGCCGACUGUGUCAGCAUUCAUUCUCCACUGUUGCUCCCAGACCCUGAGAACUCUGCCCAAGUUCAGCAGUCACCCUGAGAAGCCUGUGCCCUGCUGCCCUUUUUGAUCUACAAGAAUCUCAGCAGGUCAAGUCUAGACACCAAGAUCCUAUCUGUGGGGGAAAGGUGGCUCCUGAGAUGAGUAGACAGGUGACCACUGACAGCCAUUCCAGGAACUUGGAUCCCAAGGACAGACACAGCGAGUCAACUGAUCUCCUGCACCUUCUGAAGCUUGGAGGUUUCUUCCUGCCUUGUCAAGGAGCUCCAGGACCCAAGCUUCAUCAGAAGUUGCUUGAUGUUGUCCCUGCUCUUGAGGGCUGGGGCAUGCUGGGUACAGCUUCCAGCCCAAGAAUCCAUCCACAAAGGAUUGAAGGUCCCAUAGUCCCCAACCCCCAGCAGGGGAGGCCUCUGUCCUGGGAGCCUGGCUAUGUCUGCUUUGUGCACUUUCCCUCCAUGCAGCUCUCUGGAGGGCAGGGACUCCUGAGACUCAACAUUUCUGAUGGAGCCCACAUUUCCUGGAGCCUGGCCCUUGCAAACAAGCAAGCAAACAAAAUCUUUGAUAUCUCCUUUCUGGUCUCCUCCUACCCGUCCUGUAUCCGGGAAGCUUCUGUAGCCCCUACCCUGACUCCCAGUUCUCCAUCUGAGGUUGUAGAGGGUGUGGCCUUUUGCAGCCCUCUUCACUUGGACUUUACUCAGUCCUCCAUUCUGUAGGAGAGGCCUGAGGAGUCAGGUCAGGAAAGACAGUGUAGAGUCAGAAGAAAGGCAGGCUUCCUGGUGCCUCUGUGAAUCUUUUCUGUUGUAAAUUCAACCCUUGGGGUGUCCUGAGGGGCCACUUGGAGUGAUGUGGUGGGUGGAACCUCCAGUGGUAGCCAGGACACCUGGAUUCAGGAGGGUGUUGCCCAGGUUGAAUUAUCCCUUUGCUUGUCCCUCCUGUCCCUUUGAACAUUCUUGUCUCCUGUUGCUCAUGCCAGAGUUGCUGAGUGAUCUGUAUUAGGCAGCUGUUGCUUUGUAACAAAACCACCUCCAAAACUGAGUUGCUUAAAACAACAGGCAGUACAAUCAUACUUCUGAGGGUGUGAAGAAUUGGAGAAUCUUUGCUGUCUACCAUUGGGAUCCAGAGAAGCGGCAGCCCCAGCUCAUCUAUAGAUUCGUCAUGGUUCCAAUAAACAUCCCAAGACAGUUUUGGUUUUUUGGUGGGGCGGGGGGCUUGACAAACUGCUCCAAAAAUGGACAUGGAACAGCAAAAAUCCAGGAAAAACCAAAAGAAAUUAAAUUAAGAAAAAAGGCCGGGGAUUUAGUUCAGUGGUUCCACCACCUGCCUCUCAAGUGCAAGGACCCAAGUUUGAUCCCAGUACCAAAAAAAUAAAAUAAAUUAAGAAUAAAAUAAGGAACAUUUGGAUGAUGGUAUCAAGAUUUAUUGUAAACUUCUAGUACAGCCAACAGUGAGGGCCACUGUUACUUCAUUACUUACCCUCAAUGCCCAAGCACGAGGGACUAAAUGCAACUACUUUAUGAUGCCACUUCUGUCUCACGGGUACCUGUGGGAUUUUAGUUUAGUGAGAACCCAGAGAAGUUAAGGCCUCUGUGAAAGAAGGUGCUGCUCAGUUCCCUGGAGAGGGAGG
Molecule: long non-coding RNA, 5539 nt
Filed under: Heterocephalus glaber (naked mole-rat)
Lineage: Eukaryota; Metazoa; Chordata; Mammalia; Rodentia; Bathyergidae
Description: lncRNA (ENSHGLG00000044405.1)
Source: RNAcentral